RNAcentral lists this unclassified non-coding RNA (501 nucleotides) under Hevea brasiliensis (rubber tree). The record is from RNAcentral. Lineage: Eukaryota; Viridiplantae; Streptophyta; Magnoliopsida; Malpighiales; Euphorbiaceae.
CCCAUCUUUUUAGAAGCAGCGCAAUCCAUAUUCUCCCUACAAUGUGUGUUCGCCUAUCGGUUGUUUUGUUUUUCACCUUUCUCGAGUCCAUAUCCAUGCGCUUCAAGGAGCCAAACGCAUGAAUAUGUUGCCUGUAUGUGCAUGACAUACGCGGAAGAGAAAAGAGGCAUUAACUAUAAAAGCUUAAAGUGGUCUGAGUGGUAGUUGAGUUGCACUUCCUUGCUCUUUGCAUCCAUCGAUUAAUAUUUCAGAGACAGCACAUUAAUUUUCCUUACCAAAUUCCCUCAAUUGCACCCUCUCUUCUUUUAAAGAAAGCAAUAAUUAUCUUGUUCAUUCCAAGAAAAAGGAAAAUGAGAAAAGCCCCUAUGUAUCAACUAUCCCUCUGAAGAAACCCUAACCCUGCAAGAUCUUGAUUGUAUUACUUGCUCUCUUGAAAUGAAUGCACAUUCCUUCUACAACAAAACAAAUAGCAUAAGACAAACGAUAGGGUCGGAAGAUAGC